AUGAUUACCUUGAUUCCCUUCACGUCUUUAGGGAUCUUGUCGAGGCUUUCCGCUGCAGCCUUGAGCAUACAGGUCACACUAGCUCCAGGUCCAAAUAUUGGCAGCGCAGAGCAGGAGUUCAGUUGGUCAACUGACCCACCGGGCAGAGAAGACGUGGCUGACCCUAGCCAUGUUGGAGGUCCUGGUGGAUCCACGGACCCUUCAACCUCUUUAAUUGGAAGAACUAAACCUCUGGUAAGCAAAGCCAUGGCAGGAGGUGGCUCCAAGCUUCGACUACCUGACAGAAACACACUGUUCAAGAAGCCAAAUGUUCCAGGUCGUUUCAAUGCGACCAGGUUUGUAGCCAACGGCAAGAGGUUUGGCUCAGGUCCUCUGAUGAAACCACUUGCUGGAGGUAGGCUGAGGCCACAUAUAGCGCCUGAUAAACCCAAAGCCCCUGUGGAAGACAAGACUGGGCAUUUGACUGAGAGUGACCUGAGCGCUGGCACAUCAAGGCCUGAGAGAACGGAAAACCCAGCUGUCAUGUCUGGACCAAACACAGAGCGACCAGGCCAGCAACAUCACAGCACCUCAGGGUCAACUGGGACUUUGGCCCAAGAGAAAAGAUGUCUGAACAAAAUGAAAGUGACACACAGCAGAUUAGCCCCUAAAGACAGAGGCAGCAGCUGUAGGGAGGACGGAACCGUGGUGGAGAACACAGGCCCAGGCUCCUCAGGUCUAGAUGCUUCAUCCACCCACAGAGAGUCUGACGCUGACUAUUUACCAGAUCCUUCACACAGACUCCUCACUGACACAUUUGACAGUUUAAAUAUCACAAGCUUUUCUGUCCACCUGGUGAAACUGUCCAGUCUGUCUGUAAAGGCAGAAACCGCCAAGAAGCAGAUUAUAGGUGGAUUAAAGUCACAGCCGUCGGUUGCACCGUCAUCAGCUCCACCGUCAAUAAAUUCUGUAAAUGCAUCAUCUUGGAACACAGUCAGGUCAGACUCCGAUGGGCCCAGUGAAGGUUCCACCACGGCUUAUUUAACACACGGGACGUUGCUGCCUUCAGGAGACAGAGAGGUGCGUCGCAACCAGGCAGCACCAAAACGUGGGCGAAACCAGCUUUUAAAAUUUGGGACCUUCCAAAUCAGGAGCCCAGUAAACAGGACACGUCAGCCUCUUGGUUUUAACGUGUUCCCUAAACAAGAGACAGAGACUAGACAGUCGUCUGCAAAUGAAUUCGCUUUGUUUCCAUCUUCCUCUGGCUCAGUAGACAGAAAUGCAGCAGUCAAUGCUAGUAGGGAUGGAGUAACAAAACCUGUGUCCUCUGUGGUUGACCAAGGCCAGAAGAACAAACCUGAGACACGAAGGCAGGUCCCACUUCGACGUCUUCCUCCAAAGCGGGCAUUCAUGCGUCGCCCACUUCCAAACACAGGGCCUCACAACCAGAGUCGGCCAAGUGUGAAGCUCCUCGCUCGUCCCUCUAGACCUGGUCCCAAAGCCGGGACACAGACACAGCCAGCGUCUUCCACAGAACUACCAGCCAUCUCACCUCCUGCCUCCGAAGCCUCCUAUUUACCUGCAGAGCCAGUGAGACAGAGAGAAGCUGAUGGAGCCACCUCCACCACUAACACGGCCAACACUUUAAAUCAGACUGUGAGCCUUCAUAGAACACCUUUGUCCAAGCACCCAACACCCAGAGCUGGGCUUCACCAUGACCUGCAGCGACAUGGUCGACCGUCUACUAACAGAACCCAUCUGAACCUGAGCCAACAUUCAAAUGGAGGCUACAAAACACCGUCUGCAAAGGUGAAUGAGCUCCCAGUGAACUUUGAACUUCCCAGUAUCCCAUUAGGAAACCACAGCAUCCCCAUUGUCCCUGGCUUUGUCCAAGGGGCCAAUGUUAGAAGGUUAGUCGAUGACCGACACUCAACCAUCCAACAUCACACUACCCAGCCUACGCACCAUAAAACCAGCAACUGGGACCACAGUGAUACUGGUAAUGCAGGUCAAAACAGACCCAUCAUUCAGCAAAGUUCAUCCGGUUCAAGAACCGCAUUCCCCAACAAAGAGUCACCAGCUAGAGGUUUGACAGCGCAGCAGCAUAGGCAGCUGAAAAACUACGUCAGUGGAAGCCAUUCAACACAAGGCCAGGACGCCAGGCCUGGACUGGGACCCGGCGCUUCCUCUGCAGGGAUGGGGAGGGAACCUCUGCUCUAUGUGGGAGUGAGGAACCGGACCUCAGAUGGAUUUACACUUGUGUGGGACUCACCACAGGGGAAGUACACAAACUUCAUUGUGACCACAAAAGAGGCUGUAAAGGAUAAAGCACCAAAACUGCAGGACGGUAAAAAAGUCCAACAAGGAGCCUCACAGGACGCAGGACAGCAGCCCAGAGGAGCAGGAGACGGUGCUGGUCCAGAUCAAAACGCCUCGACUCUGAAGGGGGAACGCAGCACCGCUGCUCAGGAGGGGACCCUCACAAACGUUCUCCCUGGUUCCAGUCGCUUGCUGCAGGUCCAGGACCUGUUCCCUCAGACUGACUACACUAUCACCCUGCUGGGAAAAGGUCCGGGCCUCCUGUCCAGACUGCACAAGCUUGUCAUCAGCACAGGUACAAGCCAUUGGUACAGAGUGGGAGGAGCUGCUGUACAAUGCAUCAACAUUGCUGCCAAUGUUGUUUAUGACACUUGGUCCUUUCUUUCUGAUCCUGUCUCAGUCAAAACAUUCAUCUUUUCUCUCUGA
RNAcentral lists this long non-coding RNA (2724 nucleotides) under Betta splendens (Siamese fighting fish). Its description in RNAcentral is "lncRNA (ENSBSLG00000004048.1)". The record is from RNAcentral. Lineage: Eukaryota; Metazoa; Chordata; Actinopteri; Anabantiformes; Osphronemidae.